AAACUCAAAUGAAUUGACGGGGCCGCACAAGCGGUGGAGUAUGUGGUUUAAUUCGAUGCAACGCGAAAACCUUACCUGCCCUUGACAUCCUCGGAACUUGUCAGAGAUGACUUGGUGCCUUCGGAACCGAGAGACAGGUGGUGCAUGGUUGUCGUCAGCUCGUGUCGUGAGAUGUUGGGUUAAGUCCCGCAACGAGCGCAACCCUUGUCCUUAGUUGCCAGCAUUAAGUUGGGCACUCUAAGGAGACUGCCGGUGUUAAACCGGAGGAAGGUGGGGAUGACGUCAAGUCCUCAUGGCCCUUAUGUCCAGGGCUACACACGUGCUACAAUGGCCGGUACAAAGGGCUGCAAUACCGCAAGGUGGAGCGAACCCCAAAAAGCCGGUCUCAGUUCGGAUUGGAGUCUGCAACUCGACUCCAUGAAGUUGGAAUCGCUAGUAAUCGCGGAUCAGCAUGCCGCGGUGAAUACGUUCCCGGGCCUU
This 480-nucleotide ribosomal RNA is filed under the name uncultured Desulfuromonadales bacterium. Its description in RNAcentral is "bacterial SSU rRNA". It matches the Rfam family "Bacterial small subunit ribosomal RNA", at positions 897 to 1382 of the family's 1533-position model. The record is from RNAcentral. Lineage: Bacteria; Pseudomonadati; Thermodesulfobacteriota; Desulfuromonadia; Desulfuromonadales.